RNAcentral lists this ribosomal RNA (591 nucleotides) under uncultured marine eukaryote. RNAcentral describes it as "SSU rRNA". It matches the Rfam family "Eukaryotic small subunit ribosomal RNA", at positions 1 to 598 of the family's 1831-position model. The record is from RNAcentral.
UACCUGGUUGAUCCUGCCAGUAGUCAUAUGCUUGUCUCAAAGACUAAGCCAUGCAAGUCUAAGUAUAAGCAAUUUAUACGGCGAAACUGCAGAUGGCUCAUUAAAACAGUUAUAGUUUAUUUGAUGGUCUAUUACUACUUGGAUAACCGUAGUAAUUCUAGGGCUAAUACAUGCAUGAAGGCUCAACUUACGGCGAGCUGUAUUUAUUAGAUAAAACACCAAUUCCGCAAGGAUCCGGUGAGUCAUAAUAACUAAUCGAAUCGCACGGCUUACGCUGGCGAUAGGUCAUUCAAAUUUCUGCCCUAUCAGCUUUCGAUGGUAGGAUAUGGGCCUACCAUGGCGGUGACGGGUGACGGAGAAUUAGGGUUCGAUUCCGGAGAGGGAGCCUGAGAAACGGCUACCACAUCCAAGGAAGGCAGCAGGCGCGCAAAUUACCCAAUCCUGACAUAGGGAGGUAGUGACAAGAAAUAACAAUAGACGGGUUUACUAAUCUGUCUAAUUGGGAAUGAGUACAAUUUAAACAACUUAACGAGGAUCCAUUGGAGGGCAAGUCUGGGUGCCAGCAGCCGCGGUAAUUCCAGCUCCAAUAGC